This 515-nucleotide ribosomal RNA is filed under the name uncultured bacterium. RNAcentral describes it as "bacterial SSU rRNA". It matches the Rfam family "Bacterial small subunit ribosomal RNA", at positions 15 to 518 of the family's 1533-position model. The record is from RNAcentral.
GAUCAUGGCUCAGGAUGAACGCUAGCUACAGGCUUAACACAUGCAAGUCGAGGGGCAGCAUAGUCAAAGCUUGCUUGAUUGAUGGCGACCGGCGCACGGGUGAGUAACGCGUAUCCAACCUUCCCCUUAGUAGGGCAUAGCCCGGCGAAAGUCGGAUUAAUACCCUAUGUUGUGUCAUGAGGACGUCUGAAUAACACUAAAGAUUUAUCGCUAAGGGAUGGGGAUGCGUCCGAUUAGCUUGCCGGCGGGGUAACGGCCCACCGGGGCGACGAUCGGUAGGGGUUCUGAGAGGAAGGUCCCCCACACUGGUACUGAGACACGGACCAGACUCCUACGGGAGGCAGCAGUGAGGAAUAUUGGUCAAUGGGCGAGAGCCUGAACCAGCCAAGUAGCGUGCAGGAUGACGGCCCUAUGGGUUGUAAACUGUCUUUUAUGGCGGGGAUAAAGUGACGUACGUGUACGUUUUUGUAGGUACCGCAUGAAUAAGGACCGGCUAAUUCCGUGCCAGCAGCUGC